UACGGAGGGUGCAAGCGUUAUCCGGAUUCACUGGGUUUAAAGGGUGCGUAGGCGGGCAGGUAAGUCAGUGGUGAAAUCUCCGGGCUUAGCCCGGAAACUGCCGUUGAUACUAUCUGUCUUGAAUAUCGUGGAGGUAAGCGGAAUAUGUCAUGUAGCGGUGAAAUGCUUAGAUAUGACAUAGAACACCCAUUGCGAAGGCAGCUUACUACACGAUCAUUGACGCUGAGGCACGAAAGCGUGGGGAUCAAACAGG
This 253-nucleotide ribosomal RNA is filed under the name uncultured bacterium. Its description in RNAcentral is "partial 16S ribosomal RNA". It matches the Rfam family "Bacterial small subunit ribosomal RNA", at positions 524 to 776 of the family's 1533-position model. The record is from RNAcentral.